UUCCAGUGAAGAUGACCAAGUCAAACAGCCACACCCAAGGCCACCUCCACUCUGGUCACCUGCCGAGGGGAGCCGACUCUCUUCUAGGAGGAGAAUUACUGACAAUCUGAGAUGUGAAAUUAAAAUGAUCCAUCAAGAAAGCAGCUGACACAGUCAACACGUGUCACACAACGAUAAUGAUGACCUUCAACCAAACUGAAGAUACAAAGCUGGAAAGCAAACACGUGCAGACACAUAACUCUCACAAAGGGCACCAAGCAAACAGCCAAAUGAGAAAAUGGGGGAGCAGACAGGAAAGCAAGUCUACAGAGCCCCCGAGACGCCCCGGACCCUUCUAUGGUCUCCGAGGCCCGUUCUUAGCUCGCCUGCUCCCCUCACAUACCCAACGUCUCGGAGUGCUUUUUCACGUUGGCACGUUGCUGGAGUACAGAGGUCAAGUUUUAGAGGGCUUCCAGCCGCUACAGGACCAGUUUCUCCUAGCGUCCACGCCCAGCUCUCUGCACACAGCCACGAACACACUGACAUCUCGC
Non-coding RNA from Manis javanica (Malayan pangolin), 530 nucleotides. Lineage: Eukaryota; Metazoa; Chordata; Mammalia; Pholidota; Manidae. The record is from RefSeq and is a predicted model, not a curated record.